This is a long non-coding RNA of Rosa rugosa (rugosa rose), 505 nucleotides long. RefSeq lists it as uncharacterized. The record is from RefSeq and is a predicted model, not a curated record. The transcript has 3 exons. NCBI's taxonomy places the organism in Eukaryota, Viridiplantae, Streptophyta, Magnoliopsida, Rosales, Rosaceae.
UCGAGAUUCUAGGCGUGGAAAUGGAGGCGCAGAUCGACAUCGUAAGGUCUUCCGCGAAAGCAUCCAGGGCAUAAAGUCGGUGACGGCUCGGUUCUCAAGGUCGGCGAGGAGAAGGAGAUCAGAAAGCAGGGAUAUUGAAGAAGGAACUCCUCACUAUAUCCCAAGCUUGAGGUGAUAGGAGUCUAGGGUUUGUGCUUAUUGAAUUUGCGCUUAUUUGUUCUUUUGGAUUGGGAUUGAUUGCAAUUAUGUUUGAAUUCAGUGCGUACAUUACACCGGGACGGGACACAGUUCGAUUCGAGCGGCAAUAGGGGGACAUCGUUCAGUUCAGUCGGACAAGUUAAGAAGAAGGGAAAGAGAUUAAGAAGAAAGCUCUGGAAUGGAAGAGGUUAAGCAGAAUGUAGCCCUUGCUUUAAGUUGUAUAGUUUUGACCUCUCUUCCAUCUGUUUUAGGUUUUCUUCCCCUCUAGUUAACAGUAUGAGAUUUUUCGUAUGUUCUGAAUUUCUGA